UGCGAUAUAGUCAAAUGGUAUGACAAAAGAUUGCAAAUCUUUUAUUUCCAGUUCGAAUCUGGGUGUCGCGU
RNAcentral lists this transfer RNA (71 nucleotides) under Lepidodinium chlorophorum. Its description in RNAcentral is "tRNA-Cys". It matches the Rfam family "tRNA". Rfam says of the family: Transfer RNA (tRNA) molecules are approximately 80 nucleotides in length. Their secondary structure includes four short double-helical elements and three loops (D, anti-codon, and T loops). Lineage: Eukaryota; Dinophyceae; Gymnodiniales; Gymnodiniaceae. The record is from RNAcentral.